AGCUAGUUGGAGGUGUAAGAGACCCCCAAGGCGACGAUGGGUAGCCGGCCUGAGAGGGUGAACGGCCACACUGGAACUGAGACACGGUCCAGACUCCUACGGGAGGCAGCAGUGGGGAAUCUUCCGCAAUGGGCGCAAGCCUGACGGAGCAACGCCGCGUGAGUGAAGAAGGCCUUCGGGUUGUAAAACUCUGUCUUCAGGGAAGAAAAAAAUGACGGUACCUGAGGAGGAAGCCCCGGCUAACUACGUGCCAGCAGCCGCGGUAAAACGUAGGGGGCGAGCGUUGUCCGGAAUUACUGGGCGUAAAGGGCGCGUAGGCGGUUAUCCAAGUCAGGGGUGAAAACUCUGGGCUCAACCCAGAGCGUGCCUUUGAAACUGGGUAACUUGAGGGCAGGAGAGGGGAGUGGAAUUCCCAGUGUAGCGGUGAAAUGCGUAGAUAUUGGGAGGAACACCAGUGGCGAAGGCGGCUCUCUGGCCUAACCCUGACGCUGAGGCGCGAAAGCGUGGGGAUCAAACAGGAUUAGAUACCCUGGUAGUCCACGCCGUAAACGACGGGUGCUAGGUGUAGGAGGUAUCGACCCCUUCUGUGCCGUAGUUAACACAAUA
RNAcentral lists this ribosomal RNA (606 nucleotides) under uncultured bacterium. RNAcentral's name for it is "bacterial SSU rRNA". It matches the Rfam family "Bacterial small subunit ribosomal RNA", at positions 243 to 862 of the family's 1533-position model. The record is from RNAcentral.